AAGAGAUCGGGAUAACACCUGGAAACAGAUGCUAAUACCGGAUAAUAACAGAUGAUGCCUAUCAACNGUUUAAAAGAUGGUUCUGCUAUCACUCUUGGAUGGACCUGCGGUGCAUUAGCUAGUUGGUAGGGUAACGGCCUACCAAGGCGAUGAUGCAUAGCCGAGUUGAGAGACUGAUCGGCCACAUUGGGACUGAGACACGGCCCAAACUCCUACGGGAGGCAGCAGGG
Molecule: ribosomal RNA, 230 nt
Filed under: uncultured Lactobacillus sp.
Lineage: Bacteria; Bacillati; Bacillota; Bacilli; Lactobacillales; Lactobacillaceae
Description: partial 16S ribosomal RNA
Rfam family: Bacterial small subunit ribosomal RNA
Source: RNAcentral